Molecule: transfer RNA, 72 nt
Filed under: Pangasianodon gigas (Mekong giant catfish)
Lineage: Eukaryota; Metazoa; Chordata; Actinopteri; Siluriformes; Pangasiidae
Description: tRNA-Glu
Rfam family: tRNA
About the family: Transfer RNA (tRNA) molecules are approximately 80 nucleotides in length. Their secondary structure includes four short double-helical elements and three loops (D, anti-codon, and T loops). Further hydrogen bonds mediate the characteristic L-shaped molecular structure. tRNAs have two regions of fundamental functional importance: the anti-codon, which is responsible for specific mRNA codon recognition, and the 3' end, to which the tRNAs corresponding amino acid is attached (by aminoacyl-tRNA synthetases). tRNAs cope with the degeneracy of the genetic code in two manners: having more than one tRNA (with a specific anti-codon) for a particular amino acid; and 'wobble' base-pairing, i.e. permitting non-standard base-pairing at the 3rd anti-codon position.
Source: RNAcentral
CCCCUGGAGGACUAGUGGUUAGGCCUCGGCGCUCUCACCGCUGCAGCCUGGGUUUGAUUCCCGGCCAGGGAA